This 787-nucleotide ribosomal RNA is filed under the name uncultured bacterium. Its description in RNAcentral is "bacterial SSU rRNA". It matches the Rfam family "Bacterial small subunit ribosomal RNA", at positions 54 to 839 of the family's 1533-position model. The record is from RNAcentral.
CAUGCAAGUCGAGCGGGGAUUAUCGAAUGAAGUUUUCGGAUGGAAUUUGGUAAUUCUAGCGGCGGACGGGUGAGUAACGCGUGAGCAACCUGCCUUUCACAGGGGGAUAACGCAUCGAAAGGUGCACUAAUACCGCAUGAGACCACGCUCCCGACAUGAGAGAGGGGUCAAAGGAGCAAUCCGGUGAGAGAUGGGCUCGCGUCUGAUUAGCUGGUUGGUGAGGUAACGGCCCACCAAGGCGACGAUCAGUAGCCGACCUGAGAGGGUGAUCGGCCACAUUGGAACUGAGAGACGGUCCAAACUCCUACGGGAGGCAGCAGUGGGGAAUAUUGGGCAAUGGGGGAAACCCUGACCCAGCAACGCCGCGUGAAGGAAGAAGGUUUUCGGAUCGUAAACUUCUAUCCUUGGUGAAAAUAAUGAUGGUAGCCAAGAAGGAAGCCCCGGCUAACUACGUGCCAGCAGCCGCGGUAAUACGUAGGGGGCAAGCGUUGUCCGGAAUGAUUGGGCGUAAAGGGCGCGUAGGCGGCCUGGUAAGUUUGAAGUGAAAGUCCUUCUUUUAAGGAGGGAACUGCUUUGAAAACUGUCGGGCUUGAGUGCAGGAGAGGUAAGCGGAAUUCCCGGUGUAGCGGUGAAAUGCGUAGAGAUCGGGAGGAACACCAGUGGCGAAGGCGGCUUACUGGACUGUUACUGACGCUGAGGCGCGAAAGUGUGGGGAGCAAACAGGAUUAGAUACCCUGGUAGUCCACACUGUAAACGAUGAAUGCUAGGUGUAGGGGGUAUCGACCCC